UGGAAUUGUUAGACUUUUCUCUCUGGAGUCC
This 31-nucleotide non-coding RNA is filed under the name Mus musculus (house mouse). Lineage: Eukaryota; Metazoa; Chordata; Mammalia; Rodentia; Muridae. The record is from RNAcentral.